Molecule: ribosomal RNA, 253 nt
Filed under: uncultured bacterium
Lineage: Bacteria
Description: partial 16S ribosomal RNA
Rfam family: Bacterial small subunit ribosomal RNA
Source: RNAcentral
UACGGGGGGGGCAAGCGUUGUUCGGAAUUACUGGGCGUAAAGGGCUCGUAGGUGGCCAACUAAGUCAGACGUGAAAUCCCUCGGCUUAACCGGGGAACUGCGUCUGAUACUGGAUGGCUUGAGUAUGGGAGAGGGAUGCGGAAUUCCAGGUGUAGCGGUGAAAUGCGUAGAUAUCUGGAGGAACACCGGUGGCGAAGGCGGCAUCCUGGACCGGUAUUGACGCUGAGGCGCGAAAGCCAGGGGAGCAAACGGG